CCUACGGGUGGCAGCAGUGAGGAAUAUUGGUCAAUGGACGCAAGUCUGAACCAGCCAUGUCGCGUGCAGGAAGAAGGUGCUAUGCAUUGUAAACUGCUUUUAUACGGGGGUAAUGUCAGAUACGUGUAUCUGGAUGAAAGUACCGUAUGAAUAAGGAUCGGCUAACUCCGUGCCAGCAGCCGCGGUAAUACGGAGGAUCCGAGCGUUAUCCGGAUUUAUUGGGUUUAAAGGGUGCGUAGGCGGGUAGGUAAGUUAGUUGUGAAAGUUCGAGGCUCAACAUCAAAAUUGCAGCUGAUACUGGCUGACUAGAGUAUAGUAGAGGAAGGCGGAAUGUGUGGUGUAGCGGUGAAAUGCUUAGAUAUCACACAGAACACCGAUUGCGAAGGCAGCUUUC
This 394-nucleotide ribosomal RNA is filed under the name uncultured bacterium. Its description in RNAcentral is "partial 16S ribosomal RNA". It matches the Rfam family "Bacterial small subunit ribosomal RNA", at positions 338 to 729 of the family's 1533-position model. The record is from RNAcentral.